This 24-nucleotide non-coding RNA is filed under the name Cricetulus griseus (Chinese hamster). Lineage: Eukaryota; Metazoa; Chordata; Mammalia; Rodentia; Cricetidae. The record is from RNAcentral.
UAGAGGACUCUGCUGCAUCGUCUU